RNAcentral lists this long non-coding RNA (473 nucleotides) under Apteryx owenii (little spotted kiwi). RNAcentral's name for it is "lncRNA (ENSAOWG00000013890.1)". The record is from RNAcentral. Lineage: Eukaryota; Metazoa; Chordata; Aves; Apterygiformes; Apterygidae.
CCUAAGUCUUGGAAAGACACAUGAUGAACUUCCAGGAAAUGAGUAAUUUUCUCUAUGGUUUUCUUUGCAUAGCUAAUGCUCUGCUAUAUAGAAGUUGAGAUGUGAAACCUGUUUUGAUUAAUACUGAAUUUUCUGGAAGAUGGUCUUCUCCAAACUACAUGUUACCUAAACUGAGUAGAAGGUUACCUAGGGUGAAACAAAAUUACAGGAUUGGAAACUCUGGAAAAGCUCAGCAUCAGCAUUUGAGAGCCAAAGCUUGCAAAUUAUGUGAUUAAUCUACAAGCUGAUAUCAUGAUGUCAAAAUGCAGUUCGGGAAGCAUAAAUACAGAAGUUGCAGAAAUUAAAACGAAGCUUAGGAGGAACAUGCCAGAAAUUUCGGUCGUUUACUGUACCAUGCUCACAGAAGUCUUUCAGAAGCAGAUCAUUCAAACAGAGAACCUCAAUUAAGCUGUGCUGGAACAAAAAUGCAAUGA